AGCAGCCGCGGUAAUUCCAGCUCCAAUAGCGUAUAUUAAAGUUGUUGCAGUUAAAAAGCUCGUAGUUGAAUUUCGGGGUCAGUAGGUUGGUCAUGCCUUUGGUAUGUACUGGUCUCACUGAUUCCUCCCUCUUGAAGAACUGUAAUGUCAUUAAUUUGGUGUUGCGGGGAAUCAGGACUGUUACUUUGAAAAAAUUAGAGUGUUUAAAGCAGGCUUACGCUUGAAUACAUUAGCAUGGAAUAAUGAAAUAGGACGUUUGAUCCUAUUUUGUUGGUUUCUAGGAUUGACGUAAUGAUUAAUAGGGAUAGUUGGGGGCAUUAGUAUUCAAUUGUCAGAGGUGAAAUUCUUGGAUUUAUUGAAGACUAACUACUGCGAAAGCAUUUGCCAAGGAUGUUUUCAUUAAUCAAGAACGAAAGUUAGGGGAUCGAAGACGAUCAGAUACCGUCGUAGUCUUAACCAUAAACUAUGCCGACUAGGGAUCGGAUGAUGUUAAUUUUUAAUGACUCAUUCGGCGCCUUAC
Molecule: ribosomal RNA, 520 nt
Filed under: uncultured Glomus
Lineage: Eukaryota; Fungi; Glomeromycota; Glomeromycetes; Glomerales; Glomeraceae
Description: SSU rRNA
Rfam family: Eukaryotic small subunit ribosomal RNA
Source: RNAcentral